UAUGUAAAGUAUAGAAAAAAAAGUUUUCUCUUCAACUUCAGUCACCGAUCUUUCAUUUCUCUCUGUACGCAUAUGUUAUACUUCAAAGAGUAACAGUAGGUACAAAUUUGACACAUUAACUUUGAACACCUAUAUCUCUUUCAAAAAAACUCGAAAUUACACAAAAUCUUCAUCCAAAUUAUACCCAAAACCGUGAACUUGCUGAUCCUAGCCUCCAAA
Molecule: long non-coding RNA, 219 nt
Filed under: Physcomitrium patens
Lineage: Eukaryota; Viridiplantae; Streptophyta; Bryopsida; Funariales; Funariaceae
Description: long non-coding RNA (PPAT_LNC006547)
Source: RNAcentral